CUGUGGGCAAGGACCUUAUAAUGGGAUUGGAUUAUGCACAGUAAUAUCAAACUUGUGUCCCAACAGAGACAUCUAUGCCUUUUGGGAUGCAUUCCACCCAUCAGAGAGGGCCAAUAGAAUCAUUGUUCAACAAAUGUUGAGGGGCACCACCAAAUAUAUGCACCCAAUGAAUCUCAGCACCAUCAUGCUUUUGGAUUCUAGGACCUAAUUACCAAUUACAUGAAGUCUUUCUAUUAAACCAUGUCAUGGACAAUAUUAUUCUUUAUUAUGCAUGGUCCAUAUUAUUAAGUUGGUGGGUUUUUUAUAUUUUCUUUUUUUUUUUUAGUGUGUUUAAUUUUCACUGGGCGAUUAUGUCUAUCAAAUUUCAUGUUGGCUACAUGGGUAAGCAUUGGCUAAAAUCUGUCUCUCUUCAAUAAAUUUUACACUAUGUAAUAGUGGAUUGUUGUUCCUGUCUCAAUGUUUUCUUUGUCUUUUCUUUACACAUGUGCAACAUUAAUU
RNAcentral lists this unclassified non-coding RNA (498 nucleotides) under Hevea brasiliensis (rubber tree). The record is from RNAcentral. Lineage: Eukaryota; Viridiplantae; Streptophyta; Magnoliopsida; Malpighiales; Euphorbiaceae.